GUAUGGGAGUGAGAAUGUUGGCAUGAGUAGCGAGAUGUGGGUGAGAAUCCCACAGGCCGUAAACCCAAGGUUUCCAGGGGAAGGUUCGUCCGCCCUGGGUUAGUCGGGACCUAAGCUGAGGCCGAAAGGCGUAGGUGAUGGACAACAGGUUGAUAUUCCUGUACUACCGAUAACCGUUUGAGAGAAGGGAUGACACAGUAGGAUAAGCUAAGCACACUGUUGGUUAUGUGUGCCCAAGCAUUGAGGCAGUCAAAGUAGGCAAAUCCGCUUUGAUAAUGCUGGGAUGUGAUGGGGAGCGAAAUUUAGUAGCGAAGUAGCUGAUUUCACACUGUCAAGAAAAGUCUCUAUCGAGGUUAAAGGUACCCGUACCGCAAACCGACACAGGUGGGUGAGGAGAGUAUCCUAAGGCCAGCGAGAGAACUGUUGUUAAGGAACUCGGCAAAAUGACCCCGUAACUUAGGGAUAAGGGGUGCCACCAUCAGGUGGCCGCAGAGAAUAGGCCCAAGCGACUGUUUACCAAAAACAUAGGUUUCUGCUAAGUCGCAAGACGAUGUAUAGGAGCUGACGCCUGCCCGGUGCUGGAAGGUUAAGGGGAUCUGUUAGAGCAAUCGAAGCAGUGAACUUAAGCCCCAGUAAACGGCGGCCGUAACUAUAACGGUCCUAAGGUAGCGAAAUUCCUUGUCGGGUAAGUUCCGACCCGCACGAAAGGCGUAACGAUUUGGGCACUGUCUCAACAACAGACUCGGUGAAAUUGUAAUUCCGGUGAAGAUGCCGGAUACCUGCGACAGGACGGAAAGACCCCAUGGAGCUUUACUGUAGCUUGACAUUGGGUCUUGGUACUACAUGUACAGGAUAGGUGGGAGGCUUUGAAACCAGGACGCCAGUUUUGGCGGAGCCAUCCUUGGGAUACCACCCUUGUAGUACUGGGACUCUAACCAUAGGCCAUGAAUCUGGUCUUGGGACACUGUCAGGUGGGCAGUUUGACUGGGGCGGUCGCCUCCCAAAAGGUAACGGAGGCGCUCAAAGGUUCUCUCAGUACGGUCGGAAAUCGUACGUAGAGUGUAAAGGCAAAAGAGAGCUUGAUUGCAAGACAUACAGGUCGAGCAAGGAUGAAAAUCGGACUUAGUGAUCCGGUGGUUCUGCGUGGAAGGGCCAUCGCUCAACGGAUAAAAGCUACCCUGGGGAUAACAGGCUUAUCUC
Molecule: ribosomal RNA, 1200 nt
Filed under: Clostridioides difficile
Lineage: Bacteria; Bacillati; Bacillota; Clostridia; Peptostreptococcales; Peptostreptococcaceae
Description: bacterial LSU rRNA
Rfam family: Bacterial large subunit ribosomal RNA
Source: RNAcentral